This 775-nucleotide ribosomal RNA is filed under the name uncultured Neocallimastigales. Its description in RNAcentral is "partial large subunit ribosomal RNA". It matches the Rfam family "Eukaryotic large subunit ribosomal RNA", at positions 23 to 643 of the family's 3401-position model. The record is from RNAcentral. Lineage: Eukaryota; Fungi; Neocallimastigomycota; Neocallimastigomycetes; Neocallimastigales.
AGAGAUGUGUGAUGACGCAUAUCAAUAAGCGGAGGAAAAGAAACUAACAAGGAUUCCCUUGGUAACGGCGAGUGAAGCGGGAAGAGCUCAAAUUUGAAAUCUUCAAGGUUCUACCUUGACGAAUUGUAGUUUAUAGAAGUGUUUUCUGUUAGUAGAGUGGCAAAAGUUCUUUGGAAUAGGACAUCAUAGAGGGUGAGAAUCCCGUAUUUGGUCAUUCUUUCUAGCUUUGUGAUACACUUUCAACGAGUCGGAUUGUUUGGGAAUGCAGUCCAAAAUGGGUGGUAAAUUUCAUCUAAAGCUAAAUAUUGGCGAGAGACCGAUAGCGAACAGGUACCGUGAGGGAAAGAUGAAAAGAACUUUGAAAAGAGAGUUAAACAGUACGUGAAAUUGUCAAAAGGGAAGCGUUUGACACCAGUGUUGUUUUUCCGAAAAUCAAUUACGAAUGUUUUAUUUUUGAGAAGUUAUGACUUCAUCGGCUUGCUCUCUUCUUUAUCGAAACUUUCUUAAUGCACUUUUCGGUUAACAAGUCAACAUCAAUUUCUUUUGUUGUAAAAGGGUAUGAGGAAGGUGGCUUUCUUUUCGGAGAAAGUGUUUAUAGCCUUGUACCUCUGCAAUCGGAGAGAUUGAGGUCUGCAGCGUAGAUCCUUCGGGGUUAGAUACAUUUGUGCUAAGUUAUAGCUUUUCAUAGACAACUUGUUGACUAUGUUUAGUCUUGUAGCUUACUCGCUUAUGCUAUUUUACCUACGCUUAGGAUGUUGAAGAUGUAGCACAUCAU